AAUGAACGUUGGCGGCGUGGAUUAGGCAUGCGAGUCGUACGAGAACCCGCAAGGGGGAAAGUGGCGAACGGGGUAGUAAUGCGUAGGUGACGUGCCCUAUGGUCGGGGAUAGCUUAGGGAAACUUAAGGUAAUACUCGAUAAUCCCGGGAGGUUUGAAGACCAUCCGGGCAAAGGUGUGAUUCCAUCAUAGGAGCGGCUUGCGUGGUAUUAGCUAGUUGGUGAGGUAACGGCUCACCAAGGCUUCGAUGCCUAGGGGAUGUUAGCGCAUGAUCCCCACCACUGGGACUGAGAUACUGCCCAGACACCUACGGGUGGCUGCAGUCGAGAAUCUUCGGCAAUGGGCGGAAAGACCUGACCGAGCGACGCCGCGUGUGGGAGUGAAGGCCCGUUCGGGUUGGUUAAACCAACCUGUCAGAGGGGAGUGAAAUAGCACGAGAGCUAUCUCUUGUGUUUGUACAUAGCCUCAGAGGAAGCACGGGCGUAAGUUCGUGCCAGCAGCCGCGGUAAAGU
Molecule: ribosomal RNA, 511 nt
Filed under: uncultured bacterium
Lineage: Bacteria
Description: bacterial SSU rRNA
Rfam family: Bacterial small subunit ribosomal RNA
Source: RNAcentral